This 229-nucleotide unclassified non-coding RNA is filed under the name uncultured fungus. RNAcentral describes it as "sequence contains ITS1, 5.8S rRNA gene". The stretch from base 181 to 229 matches the Rfam family "5.8S ribosomal RNA", at positions 1 to 49 of the family's 154-position model. The record is from RNAcentral. Lineage: Eukaryota; Fungi.
UCUCUGUAGGUGAAUCUGCGGAGGGCUCAUCACUGAGUGAGGGUUUAACCGCCCGACCUCCAACCCUUUGUGAAUCGUACUCGUUGCUUCGGGGGCGACCCUGCCGUCCGCGGCUGAGCGCCCCCGGGGUCAAUCAAACCCUGCGUAACUAAGUCGUCGGAGUUUAAACAAAUUAAACAAAACUUUCAACAACGGAUCUCUUGGUUCGGGCAUCGAUGAAGAACGCAGC